RNAcentral lists this long non-coding RNA (1565 nucleotides) under Olea europaea subsp. europaea. The record is from RNAcentral. Lineage: Eukaryota; Viridiplantae; Streptophyta; Magnoliopsida; Lamiales; Oleaceae.
AUCCAUUCAAAUUCAAUCCAAUUCCAUCCACUACUCCUCUCCUUUCUCUCUAUGCUUAAAACCCUAGCCAUUUUUCACACACGCAAGUUUUUUCCAAGAUCUAGUUGACUAGUUUCAGUAACAAAACACCCGGCAAAGAUCAUGACGGUGGUGCCAUAAUCAACCGAACAGGAGCUGAUGAGCUCUCCAACUGACGGCAUAUCAAAUGUCCCCUUCUCAAACCACAGUGACAAUCUAUUGGUUUCUUCUUAGGAUAAGGUCACUUGAUUUUGUUUUCUAGAUUUUUCUUUUUUAGAUCUCAAUUGUCAAUUCUUUAGUGUUUUUUUUGGGAGAUUAGAUUCUAUUUUGAUGUGUUUGCUUGUUUGUUUACAGAGUGAUACGCUGUUCAAUUUUAAAGUUGUUCAAUUUAAAGAAUCAUCCCACAACUUUAAAGCAGUUCAAUUUCUUGUUGAUCUUGUCAUUUUCAAUUUUUCGGGCUUUGUGAGAUCCUUAUUAGAUGUUGACUAGUCGGAGAAUCUCAUCUCUUCUCUCUCGCUCACUUCAUUUGCUUCCUCGAAGAGGUACAUGGAUAAAAUUAUUGUAUAUGUGAAUAUUUAUUUGUGAUUAUUCUGAGAAAAUCUUGGUCUUUUUAUUUUGGGUAUUGAACAUGCUCUACUUAUCAAAAAUCCUAGAAGAAAUGAUCAUUGCAGCGUAAGAAGUGAACUUGAAAAUUUGAAACAAAGGAAGUUUGGUAAAUUCAUUUUGACGGUUCUUUGAAGUUGGAUUGGAGGGACAGGAUUAAUGACCACCCUAAAUUUGUGUCGAUUUCGGUCUGAUAUCAAAACUAGAUUAUUUUGAAAGUUCAUAAAUUUUAAGAGUGACAACUAAAGAUGCUUGUACUCACAAGAGUCAGUCAAACAGAUUAGAAGAGAGAGAACAAAAUACACUGCUAUAGUAGUUGCAUUUUAGUUGUUUUUAAUAGAUAAAUGUAAUAGUAGAAAUGUACCUACUCUGUUAACUAUGUUGCUCGCCUUUCCUCUCUAGCUUUGUUUGUUGGUUUUCUCAUUUCAUGAUUAUUUGGUGUUUAAUGGGAGUUUUUCCAAACUGUUAACUACAAGACACAUUUGGUGUUCCAUGAUAAAAAUAGCAAGCAUAGCAAUUUCUACACAGAAAGUUCGCUUGGCCCCUAGAAAUUAUAGAAAUGGAUACCCUAGCACUCUCCAUUAAGAAUUGAUACAAUAGUUUGAAAAUUAAUUUGGAUAGUUUCAGUAAUUUUUGCAGAGUCUUGAUGGUGAGACAAGGGCAUUUACAUUGAGAGGGCAAAGGCUAGUUAACUACCAUCUUAACUGAUAUAGGUUGUUCUCUUGUACGCAGGGGCGGACCCAGAGACUUCGGACUGUGGGGUCAAAAAUGAAAUUUUUUUCGAACAACGUAUCAUUAGCGAAAAUAAAUUCAUAUGCUACUACAAUUGUAGCCUAUGCGUUUUCAUACUUUGAAAACGUCGUAUAAUUACAUCGUUAUCAAUAUUGUCAUGUACAUCACUCUCAAUAUAUGUAACCAAACUAUCACUUAACUAUUGAUCUCCC